GAUGAACGCUGGCGGCGUGCCUAAUACAUGCAAGUCGAGCGAAGCGGGGACGGGUGAGUAACACGUGGAUAACCUCCUAUAAGACUGGGAUAACUUCGGGAAACCGGAGCUAAACCGGAUAAUUAUAGAUGGAACCGCGCCGCAUUAGCGAGUUGGUAAGGUAACGGCUUACCAAGGCAACGAGGCGGAGCCGACCUGAGAGGGUAAUGGGCCACGCUGGAACUGAGUCCCGGUCCAGACUCAUACGGGAGGCAGCAGGAGGGAAUCUUCCGCAAUGGGCGAAAGCCUGACGGAUCAACGCCGCGUGAGUGAUGAAGGUCUUCGGAUCGUAAAGCUCUUUUAUUAGGGAAGCGGUACCUAAUCAGAAAGCCACGGCUAGCUACGUGCCAGCAGCCGCGGUAAUAC
This 405-nucleotide ribosomal RNA is filed under the name uncultured bacterium. RNAcentral's name for it is "partial 16S ribosomal RNA". It matches the Rfam family "Bacterial small subunit ribosomal RNA", at positions 28 to 526 of the family's 1533-position model. The record is from RNAcentral.